This 589-nucleotide ribosomal RNA is filed under the name uncultured bacterium. Its description in RNAcentral is "bacterial SSU rRNA". It matches the Rfam family "Bacterial small subunit ribosomal RNA", at positions 9 to 578 of the family's 1533-position model. The record is from RNAcentral.
GAGUUUGAUCCUGGCUCAGAACGAACGUUAGCGGCGCGCCUAACACAUGCAAGUCGCACGAGAAAGGGCUUCGGCCCCGGUACAGUGGCGCACGGGUGAGUAACACGUGGGUAAUCUGCCUUCGAGUGGGGGAUAACAUUCCGAAAGGAGUGCUAAUACCGCAUAAGACCACGCCCUCGAAAGAGGAAGCGGUCAAAGCUGGCCUCUAUACAUAAGCUAGCGCUUGAGAAUGAGCCCGCGGAGCAUCAGCUAGUUGGUGAGGUAAUGGCUCACCAAGGCUUAGACGCUUAGCUGGUCUGAGAGGAUGAUCAGCCACACUGGAACUGAGACACGGUCCAGACUCCUACGGGAGGCAGCAGUGGGGAAUCUUGCGCAAUGGGCGAAAGCCUGACGCAGCGACGCCGCGUGAGUGAUGAAGGCCUUCGGGUUGUAAAGCUCUGUGGGGAGAGAAGAAUAAGUGCGGGCUAAUACUCCGCAUGAUGACGGUAUCUCCUUAGCAAGCACCGGCUAACUCUGUGCCAGCAGCCGCGGUAAGACAGAGGGUGCAAACGUUGUUCGGAAUUACUGGGCGUAAAGCGAGUGUAGGCGG